Molecule: ribosomal RNA, 424 nt
Filed under: uncultured Caryophanaceae bacterium
Lineage: Bacteria; Bacillati; Bacillota; Bacilli; Caryophanales; Caryophanaceae
Description: bacterial SSU rRNA
Rfam family: Bacterial small subunit ribosomal RNA
Source: RNAcentral
GGAAUCUUCCACAAUGGACGAAAGUCUGAUGGAGCAAUGCCGCGUGAGUGAAGAAGGUUUUCGGAUCGUAAAACUCUGUUGUGAGGGAAGAACAAGUACGAGAGUAACUGCUCGUACCUUGACGGUACCUCAUUAGAAAGCCACGGCUAACUACGUGCCAGCAGCCGCGGUAAUACGUAGGUGGCAAGCGUUGUCCGGAAUUAUUGGGCGUAAAGCGCGCGCAGGCGGUCCUUUAAGUCUGAUGUGAAAUCCCACGGCUCAACCGUGGAAGGUCAUUGGAAACUGGGGGACUUGAGUACAGAAGAGGAAAGCGGAAUUCCAAGUGUAGCGGUGAAAUGCGUAGAGAUUUGGAGGAACACCAGUGGCGAAGGCGGCUUUCUGGUCUGUAACUGACGCUGAGGCGCGAAAGCGUGGGGAGCAAACA